AGAUCUAUUUUUACAGACUCAUGCCUGGGAGAAGGGAAUCUGAAAAUGAUAGAGAUUGCAAAGCAGGUAAUCAAUAUAUCCGAGUGCUGAGAUUAAAGAAUUAUUUUACUUUGUGUCCGCCACCACAAUCAGCGUCAGCCGUGGGCACCAAUACCGGCUGAUUAUACUUUAUCACAUCAAAAGCCACCACUAAAAGAAGUGAUUGUCAGAAAAUCUGUUCCCUGGGAAACCGUGCAUAGCAAUUUUAUUUUUAUUUUUGUAUAAGCGUGUGUAUAUGUAUGGAUAAGAAUGCAGUGUGUAAGGCGCUUCAGAAUAGAAUAAAUACACGUGAGCAAAGUUAAGUGGGUUGUGUGACUGAUAUAAUAAUAAUGCUUCCCUAACACUGUAACCAUGGAAUACCAAAAACAGAGUUAAAUAUCAGUGUAUAGACACAGGGCCGGUGCAAGGAUUUUUGCCGCCCUAGGCAAAUAAAAAUUUGCCGCCCCCCCCCCCCCCAUGUCCUGCCCACCAUGUAACAUCACAAUGCCCCGCCCAUAUGGGCCAACGCCAGUCUUCACAAAGUGUCUUUUAUCUGAAAAGACAGUGUGUUAACAUUAAAAAGCCUACAGGCACAGGCUAUGCUAUAGACACCAGAACCACUACAUUAUGCUGUAGUGCUUCUGGUGACUAUAGUAUCCAUUUAAUGUGAGAUUAGUGCCACUAAUAAUAUAUUGGAUUGCCUACUUACCACCAGAUGAGGACAAGAGGCUGAUGAUGGGCUCAGUCUGGCUCCACAGGUCUGGUGUAGAAGAGGCUCUCUGGAGACUGUUUUUAACAGUGCUCACAACAAUUAACGAACAGGAAGCAGCUCCAUUUUUAGGGCCCCUUACACAGCUCAAGGUCUGGGCCCCCAGGGCUUGACCAUGAGUAUGCCUACAAUGCCCACCCAUAAAUACCUACAUGGCCCACCCAUGAGUUCUCUCACAAGAAGUGUAGUGUAUGUGUGUAAGGGAUGUUUUAUGUGUUAUUGUAGAGGAUGCAAUGUGUGUGUUCUUAUACAAUCUAGUGUAUAGGGAUACCAAUUUGUAUAAGGGAUGUAGUGUGUUUAUAGGGGAUGCAGUGUGUGUUUGCGUGUAAGGAAUGCAUUGUAUGUUUCUGUGUGUGUAAGGGGUGCAAGGUGUGUUUCUGUGUAUGUAAUUGAAUGCAGUGUGUGUCUGUAAGGGGUGCAUUGAUUGUGUAAGAGAUGCAUUUUGUUUCUGUGUGUAAGAGAAUGAGUGUUUGUGUGAGCGUAAGGGAUGCAUUGUGUGUUUCGGGUGUGUCUGUGUGUGAGUAGGAAUGCAUUGUAUGUUUCUGUGUGUGUGUGGGGGGGGGAAUGCAUUGUGUUUGUGUGUAGUGUAAAAGAGAGGGUUUGUGGGGUAGGAUAGGGACUGAGAGGGGAACAGCUCUUUAUUUUAAAAAAAAAAAUUCAUAGUGCUCUCCCCUCCUGUCAAUUAUUGAUUUCCCCUUCCCUCCUGUCCCUCCGUGUUCUACCCCUUCUGUCCCUUAGUGCUCUCCCUUGGCCCCCUGUCCCUCUGCAGUCCCCCCUUGGUGGUCUUCUCACUCCCCCCUCUUUCCCUUAGUGGUCCUCCAUCCCUUCCCUUAGUGGUCCUCCCUCUCCCAAACCCCUUAGUAGACCUUCCCCUCCUCCCCCCACCCCCUUAGUGGUAAUCCCCCCCCCUCAGUGGUCAUUACCCUCCCCCUCCCUUAGUGGUCCUCCCUCCUUACCCCCCUUUGGUGGUCCUUCUCCCCCUUAGUGGUCCUUACUCCCCCCCACUCCCCUAAUGGUCCUUACUCCCCCCCUCCCUAAUGUCAUACUCCCCCCCCUCCCUAAUGGUCUGACUACUCCCUCCCCCACUCCCCUAAUGGUCAUACUCCCCCCUCCUCUAAUGGGUCAUACUCCCCCCACUCCCCAUGGUCCUUACUCCCUCCCCCUCCCCUAAUGGUCCUUGCUCACCCCUCCCCCUCCCUAAUGGUCCUUACUCCUCCCCACUCCCCCCUCCCUAAUGGUCCCUUACUCCCCCCACCCCUAAUGGUCCUUACUCCCCCACCCCUAAUGGUCCUUGCUCACUCUCCCACCCCACCCCUAAUGGUCCUUAGUCCCUCAUGUCGCCACUCCCCCACCCCUAGUGGUCCUUGCUCCUCCCUCCCCCCCCCUCCUAAUGGUCGCCUCUCUCCACCCCUAAUGGUCCUUGCUCCCUCCCCUCCCCCCCACCCCUAAUGGUCCUUAGUCCCUCCCACUCCCCCCCCCUCCCCUAUUAGUGUACCCCUCCUGUGGCGUGGCGGGCUGGCAGGCAUGGAGACAGGAACCUCUGUUUCCUGUACCCGGCCGCCGGCGGACUGAAGGGAAGUGCUCACUCAGUGAGCACUUCCUGUCAUUCCGCCGGCGGCCGGGUACAGGAAACAGAGGUUCCUGUCCCGCGUUCCGCGCCCCCUGCUAAGUUGCGCCCUAGGCGGCUGCCUAGGUCGCCUUACAGGUGGCGCCGGCCCUGUAUACACAAAUCCCAAUGGGUUGAAUAAUAAGUUACUACAUCUAUAUGUAGAUGUAGUAAUAUAAUACGCCUAAAAUAUCAAUAUAAAAAACAACAUAGUGUGAACUGUUUAAAACACUUUGUCUAAAAUAAAUAUAGGACUACCACUCACAUGGCUCAGAGCCGUACCAGGCUCUGUAUAGCCGGCUCGAGGGUGCCAAUACUGGCUUUUCAAUUCACUGAUAAAGUAGCAGAAGAUGGGACUUCAGAUGUGUAGUCAAAAAUGAACUUUAUUUAAGUAUAACAUUAAAACUCAAGGUAUUUUACUAGAAUGGUAGUGGAACUAAAAGUGCAUAAAUCCAAAUGGUAAAAAAACAGGGUCCACUCACCACCACAAAGACAGUAACCCGGAGUAUCAAAACAAUAUAUAAUAUAAAAAUACAGCAGACGCGUUUCACCCGGUAAGCCGCCUUCCAGUGCUGAUGAUCAGUUCAAAUGUUCGUCUUUUUAUGUCCCAUCUUCUUACAAUCACCUGUGUGCAGUUUUCGAAUCACGGAACGUCACUUCCGGUUUUGUGCUUGACGCCACUUCCUCUCACGUCUCGGUGGAACGCACGUAUGGAACGCAGCAUUCAAUGUGAUUAGGAGUCCCGCCGGAACAUAGCAUUAGUUCAAUAGUUCCGAUACUUUUACUUGUAUCUCGGUAUAGGAAACAGAACAAUUAGUUUAAAUAACGUAUAUAACACCCUUGAGCCGGCUAUACAGAGCCCGGUACGGCUCUGAGCCAUGUGAGUGGUAGUCCUAUAUUUAUUUUACACAAAGUAUUUUAAACAGUUCACACUAUGUUAUUUUUUAUAUUUAUAUUUUAGGCGUAUUCUACUACAUCUACAUAUGGGUGUGUGUGUGUGUAUAUAUAUAUUCUGUCACUUGUACGGAAAUGUCAGUGUUCAAUACGAUAUUGAGAGUCACCUAUAACUUGUGUGUUUAUUCAUUUUGUUUGAUUUCUAUCCUUUUGAUCAAUAACAACAUAAAUAUAUUUUUAAAGAAACACUCAUUCAUUGGAAUUAAGUUGUUAUGGUGCUAGGUGGUCCCUGGCGCCGGCUUACCUUGACAAACGCUGGUUUAACCCUAAAAUCCAGUCAUUGAAGUUGUUAUGGUGCCUGGAGUGUUCCUUUAACCUUAGUAUUUUCCUUUAUUGUAUUCGAUUCACCCUCUGCCUUUAAUAAUUAAGAUAAUUCAAGUUGUAAAAUGCAGCUGUGAUGUAAUAGUCUCCUAUCAGCCAUUCUCAGGCUGACCUGUGGCACAAGCAUGACAACCACCGUGCAUCGCCACUCAGAUUCUUCUCUUCUGGAAGCGUUGAUUCCAUAGAGAGAGCUUACAGAGAGGAGGAGAAAUGAAACAAUGUUAAUAUUUCUCCUCUUCGUUUGCAUUGUGUGCCCUGCCUGUGCCUUGCCUGAACUGUACUAUGAUGUCAUUUGCUAAAUCUGUAACAUAAAUUUUAAAGAACACGGAGCAACUCGUGAAAAAUGUGGUUUACUCAAGUUAUAGGUGAUUUUCAAGGUUUGUUCAAUGGUUUAAAUUCUAGAGAAGUGACCGCUUAUGCUUCUACUCAAAAUACAACAUAGUAAUUCUAGGAUGCUGCAGUGACACCUAGUGGCUAAAUUUGGGUAGCUCAGCAUUAGUCCGUUAUAGGUUGUAAAUUUAAAUGUUUCCACUUAUAAUUUAUAAAGUGCCAACAAAUUCUGUAGCGCAGUACAAUGGGUGGACUAACAGACAUGUUUUUGUAACCAGACGAGUUAGAUGCACAUGAACAGAGGGUGUUAAGCGCCUGCUCAAACUAGAGGAAAGGUUGGGAUGCAUUUCAUUAAUGGAAAAAAGUAUUUUAUUGGAAUCUUUUACAGUGAAAGGGUUAGUUUAUUGGAUAACACAGUUAUUAUUAUUAUUGCAAUUUAUAUAGCGCCAACAGAUUCCGUAGUGCUUUAGUGCAGGUGAGGAAGUAGAGCCGGUUACUAAGAUGUGGGGAGGGAAAGCUCUUAUUGUUUGAUUGACACGCUUUCCUGAAGAAGUGAGUUUUCAAUGAUUUUUUGAAGGAGUGGAGACUGGGUGAACGUCUAACAGAGCAGGGAGGGAAGUUUCACAGGAACAGUGCAGGCGUGGAGAAAUCUUGGAGGUGAGCAUCAGAGGUGGGAGUACAAACGGGUUAGGUUAGACGUAGGUCUUUGACAGACUGUAGCGGCCUAGACAGGACAUACUUGUUUAUAAGUGAGGAUAGGUCGGUGGGAGCAGCGUUGUGCAGCUAUUUGUUAGCAAGCACCAGAAUUUUAAAUUGAACCCUGUAUCUUAUGGGAAGCCAGUGUAGGGACUGACAGAGAGGUAAGGCGUGGACGGGUAGGAAGACUCACCUCACUGCCACAUUCAUUAUAGACUGCAAUGGGCCAAGGCGAGAGAGGACCAGCACCAUGGCCGUAUCCGGCGUUAGAUGGGGGUAGAUGUGAGCAGUGUCUGAGAUGGAAGCAGCAGGAUUUGGCAAUUGAUUGGACAUGAGGGGUGAUGGAGAGGUUGAAGUCGGAGAGAACACCUAGGCAGUGAGCCUGGGAGGUAGAGCUGAUGGUGGCGCCGUUGACUUGGAGGGAGCAGCAACAUUUGAGAGAGAAAAGACCAGUUUUGGACAGGUUGAGUUUAAGGAAGUGAGCAGCCAUCCAGUUGGAAAUAUCAGAGAGGCAGUUAGGGACAUGAGUCAAGAUGGACAAUGAGAGAUCAGGAGAGGACAGGUAGAAAUAGGAGAGAGGAGCACCCACUGGAAUUAGCAGCAAUUAAAUCAUUGGAUACACUGUCUGUUUGGUUUUGUUUUGCUGUUUGUUUUUAUUGUUGGGGGCAGGAUUGUUUUUUUGUUUUUAUCCACUUUCUCGAUGUUUUUAUAGUCAAAGUGAAGAAAAUAACCCCCUCCCUCCUGAAUUCAAUAAAUAAAUAUAUCUCUGUCUGUUCUAUGGAUGUAUCUGUGAAGUUCCUGUAACCAUGUAGAAUGGACAGGAUUGUUACAUGUCCAAUGGAGUUGUUCGGUGUUUGUCUAGUAAUGAUGUAACGCAGAGUCUGCUGUUUUGUUCUGUAAUAGAUCAUUCUGAUUAUUAUAAGAUGCUGUUUUUCUGUAGCACGGCUCCGCUGUGAAACUUCCUGGCAGUGGGGGAGCAGUGAUCGGAUUGUGCCUCCAUCCAAAUAAACUGGUAUGGAAUGUCUUCUAUUCAAUAAUUUAAUCAAACCUGUGUUUAUGAAGCAAAAAUCCUAAAUUGUGUCUCUUCAUUUCAAGAUGGAACUGAAGAAGGCAUUUCAGGAGAAUGGUUUUGUAUUCUGCCACAUUGUCCCCCACAGUCCGGUGACAGCCAUCGUAAAGGAGGAAAGUCCUUCAGGACCGCGAUAACCAUCCAGUUACCAUUCUCAUUUCUCAUCAUCUUUAGGAAAUGUUUGUAGUAAAUAAUUAUGUCAUUAUGUAAAACAGUGUAUACUUUAUCUACAAUUUGCUGC
This is a non-coding RNA of Pelobates cultripes (western spadefoot toad), 6004 nucleotides long. Lineage: Eukaryota; Metazoa; Chordata; Amphibia; Anura; Pelobatidae. The record is from the annotation of a GenBank genome assembly.